This 468-nucleotide ribosomal RNA is filed under the name uncultured bacterium. RNAcentral describes it as "partial 16S ribosomal RNA". It matches the Rfam family "Bacterial small subunit ribosomal RNA", at positions 28 to 507 of the family's 1533-position model. The record is from RNAcentral.
GACGAACGCUGGCGGCGUGCUUAACACAUGCAAGUCGAACGGAAAGGCCCUGCUUUUGUGGGGUGCUCGAGUGGCGAACGGGUGAGUAACCCGUGAGUAACCUGCCCUUGACUUUGGGAUAACUUCAGGAAACUGGGGCUAAUACCGGUUAGGAGCUCCUGCUGCAUGGUGGGGGUUGGAAAGUUUCGGCGGUUGGGGAUGGACUCGCGGUUUAUCAGCUUGUUGGUGGGGUAGUGGCCUACCAAGGCUUUGACGGGUUGCCGGCCUGAGAGGGUGACCGGCCACAUUGGGACUGCGAUACGGCCCAGACUCCUACGGGAGGCAGCAGUGGAGAAUAUUGCACAAUGGGCGGAAGCCUGAUGCAGCAGCGCCGCGUGCGGGAUAACGGCCUUCGGGUUGUAAACCGCUUUCGCAUGUGACGAAGCGUGAGUGACGGUAAUGAGUAAAGAAGCACCGGCUAACUACGUG